UGCCAGCCGCCGCGGUAACACGUAGGAGGCAAGCGUUAUCCGGAUUUACUGGGCGUAAAGCGCGUGCAGGUGGUUUAGUAAGUUGGAUGUGAAAUCUCCCGGCUCAACUGGGAGAGGUCGUUCAAAACUGCUAGGCUAGAGGACGGUAGAGGAAAGUGGAAUUCCCGGUGUAGUGGUGAAAUGCGUAGAUAUUCGGAGGAACACCAGUGGCGAAGGCGGCUUUCUGGACCGAUACUGACGCUGAGACGCGAAAGCGUGGGGAGCAAACAGGAUUAGAUA
Molecule: ribosomal RNA, 279 nt
Filed under: uncultured bacterium
Lineage: Bacteria
Description: partial 16S ribosomal RNA
Rfam family: Bacterial small subunit ribosomal RNA
Source: RNAcentral